This 463-nucleotide ribosomal RNA is filed under the name uncultured bacterium. RNAcentral's name for it is "partial 16S ribosomal RNA". The record is from RNAcentral.
CACGUAGUUAGCCGUCCCUUAUUCAUAAGUUACCGUCAUAAUCUUCUCUUAUAAAAGCAGUUUACAACCCGAGGGCCUUCAUCCUGCACGCGGCAUUGCUCCAUCAAGCUUUCGCUCAUUGUGAAAUAUUCCUCACUGCUGCCUCCCGUAGGAGUCUGGACCGUGUCUCAGUUCCAGUCUGGCUGAUCAUCCUCUCAGACCAGCUACACAUCAUCGACUUGGUAAGCCAUUACCUCACCAACUAUCUAAUAUGACGCAGGCCACUCCUUCAGCGCAUAAAUGCUUUAAUCCGAAGACCGUAUGCGGUAUUAGAACACCUUUCGGUGUCUUAUCCCUCACUGCAGGGUGUGUUCCUACGCGUUACUCAGCCGUCCGCCUCUCGUGUACUCCGAAGAGCCUUACCGAUCGACUUGCAUGUGUUAGGCAUGCCGCCAGCGUUCAUCCUGAGCCAGGAUCAAACUCU